This 1374-nucleotide ribosomal RNA is filed under the name Klebsiella pneumoniae. Its description in RNAcentral is "partial 23S ribosomal RNA". It matches the Rfam family "Bacterial large subunit ribosomal RNA", at positions 1576 to 2925 of the family's 2925-position model. The record is from RNAcentral. Lineage: Bacteria; Pseudomonadati; Pseudomonadota; Gammaproteobacteria; Enterobacterales; Enterobacteriaceae.
ACUACGGUGCUGAAGUAACAAAUGCCCUGCUUCCAGGAAAAGCCUCUAAGCAUCAGGUAACAUCAAAUCGUACCCCAAACCGACACAGGUGGUCAGGUAGAGAAUACCAAGGCGCUUGAGAGAACUCGGGUGAAGGAACUAGGCAAAAUGGUGCCGUAACUUCGGGAGAAGGCACGCUGGUGUGUAGGUGAAGUCCCUGCGGAUGGAGCUGAGACCAGUCGAAGAUACCAGCUGGCUGCAACUGUUUAUUAAAAACACAGCACUGUGCAAACACGAAAGUGGACGUAUACGGUGUGACGCCUGCCCGGUGCCGGAAGGUUAAUUGAUGGGGUUAUCCGUAAGGAGAAGCUCUUGAUCGAAGCCCCGGUAAACGGCGGCCGUAACUAUAACGGUCCUAAGGUAGCGAAAUUCCUUGUCGGGUAAGUUCCGACCUGCACGAAUGGCGUAAUGAUGGCCAGGCUGUCUCCACCCGAGACUCAGUGAAAUUGAACUCGCUGUGAAGAUGCAGUGUACCCGCGGCAAGACGGAAAGACCCCGUGAACCUUUACUAUAGCUUGACACUGAACAUUGAGCCUUGAUGUGUAGGAUAGGUGGGAGGCUUUGAAGCGUGGACGCCAGUCUGCGUGGAGCCAACCUUGAAAUACCACCCUUUAAUGUUUGAUGUUCUAACGUUGGCCCCUUAUCGGGGUUGCGGACAGUGUCUGGUGGGUAGUUUGACUGGGGCGGUCUCCUCCCAAAGCGUAACGGAGGAGCACGAAGGUUAGCUAAUCCUGGUCGGACAUCAGGAGGUUAGUGCAAUGGCAUAAGCUAGCUUGACUGCGAGCGUGACGGCGCGAGCAGGUGCGAAAGCAGGUCAUAGUGAUCCGGUGGUUCUGAAUGGAAGGGCCAUCGCUCAACGGAUAAAAGGUACUCCGGGGAUAACAGGCUGAUACCGCCCAAGAGUUCAUAUCGACGGCGGUGUUUGGCACCUCGAUGUCGGCUCAUCACAUCCUGGGGCUGAAGUAGGUCCCAAGGGUAUGGCUGUUCGCCAUUUAAAGUGGUACGCGAGCUGGGUUUAGAACGUCGUGAGACAGUUCGGUCCCUAUCUGCCGUGGGCGCUGGAGAAUUGAGGGGGGCUGCUCCUAGUACGAGAGGACCGGAGUGGACGCAUCACUGGUGUUCGGGUUGUCAUGCCAAUGGCACUGCCCGGUAGCUAAAUGCGGAAGAGAUAAGUGCUGAAAGCAUCUAAGCACGAAACUUGCCCCGAGAUGAGUUCUCCCUGAGACUUUAAGUCUCCUGAAGGAACGUUGAAGACGACGACGUUGAUAGGCCGGGUGUGUAAGCGCAGCGAUGCGUUGAGCUAACCGGUACUAAUGAACCGUGAGGCUUAACCUU